Molecule: transfer RNA, 73 nt
Filed under: Moringua microchir (lesser thrush eel)
Lineage: Eukaryota; Metazoa; Chordata; Actinopteri; Anguilliformes; Moringuidae
Description: tRNA-Ser (AGY)
Source: RNAcentral
CGAGAGGGAUAAACGAAAAUCUAAAGAGCUGCUAAUUCUUUAAGACCCAGGGUUAAAAUCCCCGGCCCCCUCG